This 180-nucleotide transfer RNA is filed under the name Penicillium salamii. RNAcentral's name for it is "tRNA-Pseudo". Lineage: Eukaryota; Fungi; Ascomycota; Eurotiomycetes; Eurotiales; Aspergillaceae. The record is from RNAcentral.
AGCAUGUUGGCUCAGAGGAAGCGCGUCGUAAGUUUCUGGUGAAUCUCUUCACUAAGAAAACCAACACUAACAUUACCAAAGGGGCUCAUAACCCGAAGGUACGAUACAAUUCUAGGAAUUACUCAGGAGUUCACUGAACUAACAUCACCAAGGUCCCUGGAUCGAAACCAGGACAUGCUA